AAAAUGCGAUACCUGGUGUGAAUUGCAGAAUCCCGCGAACCAUCGAGUUUUUGAACGCAAGUUGCGCCCGAGGCCUUCCGGCCGAGGGCACGCCUGCCUGGGCGUCACGCCAAAAGACGCUCCCCCCAGCCCCGGGCGGAGGGACGCGGCGUCUGGCCCCCCGCGCCGCAGGGCGCGGUGGGCCGAAGUCGGGGCUGCCGGCGUACCGUGCCGGGCGCAGCACAUGGUGGGCGACACGAGUUGUUCUCGGUGCAGCGCCCCGGCGCGCAGCCGGCGCAGCGGCCCUAAGGACCCAACCGACCGCAGCGCACGCCGCUCGGACCGCGACCCCAGGUCAGGCGGGACUACCCGCUGAGUUUAA
This 361-nucleotide unclassified non-coding RNA is filed under the name uncultured fungus. RNAcentral describes it as "sequence contains ITS1". The stretch from base 1 to 107 matches the Rfam family "5.8S ribosomal RNA", at positions 50 to 154 of the family's 154-position model. The record is from RNAcentral. Lineage: Eukaryota; Fungi.